Long non-coding RNA from Helianthus annuus (common sunflower), 602 nucleotides. RefSeq lists it as uncharacterized. The transcript is spliced from 3 exons. The record is from RefSeq and is a predicted model, not a curated record. NCBI's taxonomy places the organism in Eukaryota, Viridiplantae, Streptophyta, Magnoliopsida, Asterales, Asteraceae.
UGUGGUGAAAGUCCUUAACAACUAGUUACCAUAAUCUCCUAACCACAUUCAUCUCAUUUUCACCUUUACUUUAACAUAGUUAAGAAACUCUCUCAACCUUCAUAUCUUAGCCAAGAACACUAUCAAAAACCCUCAUCUUUUUAACACUUCCUUGAUGACCAACAUGGCGCUUGAAGAUACAUAGGAUGAUCUAAGGAUACUACAAGAAGAAGCAAGCCUUUUCAUCCAUUCCAUAGCUUCCAAACACCAAGAUCAACACUUUUUCUUUUCUUUAAUCAUCAUCAAGAUCAUCCCUAGCCAUUAGUGCUAGAAGUCGCAACAUUGUUCAAGACGACCACGCGUAAGAUCACAAAGAUGUACCAUUCACGGACGCAAUACUGGAAUUAGUGGACCAUGACGGGAUUCUCAAACAAGAUAACAAGUUUCGGAACUCCAUGCCAUCUUUUGGAGGGUUUAACUGUUAUAUUCCACCUCUUUGUGGCAAUAUGAUGGUUUAAACCUUAGUAGUUUAUUUUCAUUUUGAUGUAUGAAACAAUAACACUUUACUUUCAUGUUAAUGGUUUGUAACCGACACACUAAACUUAUGUUGUGAUCUUUUGAAA